Molecule: ribosomal RNA, 497 nt
Filed under: uncultured bacterium
Lineage: Bacteria
Description: partial 16S ribosomal RNA
Rfam family: Bacterial small subunit ribosomal RNA
Source: RNAcentral
GAUGAACGCUGGCGGCGUGCCUAAUACAUGCAAGUCGAGCGAACGGACGAGAAGCUUGCUUCUCUGAUGUUAGCGGCGGACGGGUGAGUAACACGUGGAUAACCUACCUAUAAGACUGGGAUAACUUCGGGAAACCGGAACUAAUACCGGAUGAUAUUUUGAACCGCAUGGUUCAAAAGUGAAAGACGGUCUUGCUGUCACUUAUAGAUGGAUCCGCGCUGCAUUAGCUAGUUGGUAAGGUAACGGCUUACCAAGGCAACGAUGCAUAGCCGACCUGAGAGGGUGAUAGGCCACACUGGAACUGAGACACGGUCCAGACUCCUACGGGAGGCAGCAGUAGGGAAUCUUCCGCAAUGGGCGAAAGCCUGACGGAGCAACGCCGCGUGAGUGAUGAAGGUCUUCGGAUCGUAAAACUCUGUUAUUAGGGAAGAACAUAUGUGUAAGUAACUGUGCACAUCUUGACGGUACCUAAUCAGAAAGCCACGGCUAACUACGUG